This 68-nucleotide transfer RNA is filed under the name Heliconius melpomene (postman butterfly). RNAcentral describes it as "tRNA HMEL017395". Lineage: Eukaryota; Metazoa; Arthropoda; Insecta; Lepidoptera; Nymphalidae. The record is from RNAcentral.
GCAUCGGUGGUUCAGUGGUAGAAUGCUCGCCUGCCACGCGGGCGACCCGGGUUCGAUUACAUAGUGCU